GUUGGAACCUGGUGGGCCUAGCCUACCCGGAUUGUAAACUAAAGUUUUUGGGUCGUUUAGUCAGCCAGAUAAAUAAGUCCUCUGGAAAGGGGCGACAUAGAGGGUGAAAUCCCCGUCUUUGGUCUGAGCAUGAUUAGGCGUUUGGCCUGGAAACGAAGAGUCAGGUUGUUUGGGAAUGCAGCCUAAAAUGGGAGGUAAAUCUCUCCUAAAGCUAAAUAUUGACGAAAGACCGAUAGCGAACAAGUACCGUGAGGGAAAGAUGAAAAGCACUUUGAAAAGAGGGUCAAAAAGUACGUGAAAUUGCUGAAAGGGAACCGUAUAAAAUCAGACUUACUGGUAGGUAAUCAACCUUCCUCUCGGGGAGGGUGCACUUGCCUGCUAUUGUAUGCCAGCAAUACUUUGGUUGGGAGGAAAAAAGUAGGAGAAAUGUAGCCUGGGUUUCGGCUUAGGUGUUAUAGUCUCUUGCAAAAUACUCUCGGCUGGAGUAAGGAACGCAGCAAACCGUAAGGCGAAGAUUUUGGGCGCUUGGAGUUAAUAGUUGGAGAAUUUCUGCUUCGGGUGGUGCUUCAGCUAUUGAUUUUAACUCGCUUAAAGUUCUUUUAAUUUGCUUAGGUUGUUGGCUUAAUGA
This 628-nucleotide ribosomal RNA is filed under the name Cunninghamella echinulata. RNAcentral describes it as "eukaryotic LSU rRNA". It matches the Rfam family "Eukaryotic large subunit ribosomal RNA", at positions 113 to 637 of the family's 3401-position model. Lineage: Eukaryota; Fungi; Mucoromycota; Mucoromycetes; Mucorales; Cunninghamellaceae. The record is from RNAcentral.